UACGUAGGAGGCAAGCGUUGUCCGGAAUUACUGGGCGUAAAGCGCGUGUAGGUGGUGGGACAAGUCUGCUGUGAAAGCGCCUGGCUUAACCGGGCGAGGUCGGCGGAAACGUGUUUCACUGGAGGACGGUAGGAGGGGGGUGGAAUUCCCGGUGUAGUGGUGAAAUGCGUAGAGAUCGGGAGGAACACCUGUGGCGAAGGCGGCCCCCUGGGCCGGCCCUGACACUGAGACGCGAAGGCGUGGGGAGCGAACGGG
This 255-nucleotide ribosomal RNA is filed under the name uncultured bacterium. Its description in RNAcentral is "partial 16S ribosomal RNA". It matches the Rfam family "Bacterial small subunit ribosomal RNA", at positions 524 to 776 of the family's 1533-position model. The record is from RNAcentral.